RNAcentral lists this ribosomal RNA (158 nucleotides) under Sparassis brevipes. RNAcentral's name for it is "5.8S ribosomal RNA". It matches the Rfam family "5.8S ribosomal RNA". From Rfam's summary of the family: 5.8S ribosomal RNA (5.8S rRNA) is a component of the large subunit of the eukaryotic ribosome. It is transcribed by RNA polymerase I as part of the 45S precursor that also contains 18S and 28S rRNA. Lineage: Eukaryota; Fungi; Basidiomycota; Agaricomycetes; Polyporales; Sparassidaceae. The record is from RNAcentral.
CAACUUUCAGCAACGGAUCUCUUGGCUCUCGCAUCGAUGAAGAACGCAGCGAAAUGCGAUAAGUAAUGUGAAUUGCAGAUUUCAGUGAAUCAUCGAAUCUUUGAACGCACCUUGCGCUCCUUGGUAUUCCGAGGAGCAUGCCUGUUUGAGUGUCGUGG